RNAcentral lists this ribosomal RNA (253 nucleotides) under uncultured bacterium. RNAcentral describes it as "partial 16S ribosomal RNA". It matches the Rfam family "Bacterial small subunit ribosomal RNA", at positions 524 to 776 of the family's 1533-position model. The record is from RNAcentral.
UACGGGGGGGGCAAGCGUUGUUCGGAAUUACUGGGCGUAAAGGGCUCGUAGGUGGCCAACUAAGUCAUACGUGAAAUCCCUCGGCUUAACCGGGGAACUGCGUCUGAUACUGGAUGGCUUGAGUUUGGGAGAGGGAUGCGGAAUUCCAGGUGUAGCGGUGAAAUGCGUAGAUAUCUGGAGGAACACCGGUGGCGAAGGCGGCAUCCUGGACCAACACUGACGCUGAGGAGCGAAAGCCAGGGGAGCAAACGGG